Long non-coding RNA from Canis lupus familiaris (dog), 474 nucleotides. RefSeq lists it as uncharacterized. The transcript is spliced from 3 exons. Lineage: Eukaryota; Metazoa; Chordata; Mammalia; Carnivora; Canidae. The record is from RefSeq and is a predicted model, not a curated record.
AAACAGCUUGGAAAUGACUUUUUCAGUCAUUUUCAUUCAUGAAAACCCUCACCAAAUGUAUUUAUCAUGCCUGAAAAGAAGCUCUGAAGAAAGCUCCAGAGGUUUCCCCAGAAUAUUAUGGGCAAUGCUUUGAAGAAGGAAGAUAAUUCACCUCUGCAUACAGAAAGUAGACCGUAUUUUGUAGUCAUCAGAGAUGUUGACUUCUCCAACAUCUGGUUCAGCUCAGCUCAUGACGCCUUGACCACCUAGAAUCAGCGCCCCCUACACCCUGUUAUUGCCCAAAAGGCAUACCUGCUGCAGUGAGAGGCACCUUGUGCUUUCUUGGUGGUUUCUCCUCUGGCUUGGGAUCUUUGGUUUUAAUGCUUGAAUGGAAAGGCAAUUCAGAAGCCUUGAGUUCAGAGGCUGGCAACUGAUUAUGACUUUGAUUAUCCUGUCCAGACAAAGAGACUUGAAAUAAAGGACUGCUUAGACUUC